GUGAAUCAUCGAAUCUUUGAACGCAUAUUGCGCCCCUUGGUAUUCCGGGGGGCACACCUGUUCGAGCGCCAUUUUGACCCUCAAGCAUAGCUUGGUGUUGGGUGGGGUCCCUUGGGGGACCCUCCCGUAACUUGUAGGCGGUCGCCACCCGCACCCCCCAGCGUAGCAAGCUCACGCCCUCGCUUGGGGAUGGGGUGCGACCACGCCCUGCAACAAACCCACUAAAGGUUUGGCCUCGGAUCAGGUGGGGAUACCCGCUGAACUUAAGCAUAUCAAUAAGCGGAGGA
RNAcentral lists this unclassified non-coding RNA (287 nucleotides) under Pezizomycetes sp. Its description in RNAcentral is "partial contains 5.8S ribosomal RNA, internal transcribed spacer 2, and large subunit ribosomal RNA". The stretch from base 1 to 71 matches the Rfam family "5.8S ribosomal RNA", at positions 84 to 154 of the family's 154-position model. The record is from RNAcentral. Lineage: Eukaryota; Fungi; Ascomycota; Pezizomycetes.